Molecule: long non-coding RNA, 257 nt
Organism: Bombina bombina (fire-bellied toad)
Lineage: Eukaryota; Metazoa; Chordata; Amphibia; Anura; Bombinatoridae
Exons: 4
Source: RefSeq, a predicted model, not a curated record
CUGAAAGGAACAGUGAGACGCUUCUAUACGUGUGAAUGUAUAUCUGUCCCAUUGCUAUGCAAAGAGCCUGAUUUUAAAGUAUAUCUGCCCCAGUCUUGCAAGAAAAUGCCUAAUUUUAAAGUAUAUCUGUCCCAGUCUUACAAGAAAAUACACAGACCUUCAUUUCAGCUGUCCCACUGCUAUGCAAACAGCCUGAUUUUAAAGUAUAUCUCCCCCAGUCUUACAAGAAAAUACACAGACCUUCAUUUCCGCUGUCC